This 1349-nucleotide long non-coding RNA is filed under the name Medicago truncatula (barrel medic). RNAcentral's name for it is "long non-coding RNA (MTRU_LNC001774)". The record is from RNAcentral. Lineage: Eukaryota; Viridiplantae; Streptophyta; Magnoliopsida; Fabales; Fabaceae.
GAAAACAAUUGACUAAUAGAUAACUCGAUAAGCACUCAUAUGAUAGGUGUUUAAGCUACAAGCACUAAAUUAAGGUACCGUUUGGCCCAGCUUUUUUCCAGCUUUUCUACAUUUUUAAGGAGAAGCUAAUAUCAAUAAAGUACCUUCGAAAAAAAGUACUUUUUAAGAAUACAUAAAAUUGAAUGGAAUGAGCUUUAGCCAAAAGUUGUUGAAUGCUACUUCAAAAAACUACUAUGUAAUUUAUUUCACAAGCACUUUUCUUCAACUAACGCAUGCAACUUUAUCUUUUAUUUUUUAAUAUUAUAUUUCAAUUUGUUUUUUCUUCCAUUUAAUUUUUUUUUGAACCGGUCCAUAUAAUUUUUUAUAAAAGAGGAUCAAUUUAAUUUUAUUAUCUAUUUUUGAAGGAAUUUUAUUAUCUUUUUAUCACUUAUAUAUUUAAUUUUAAUAUCGUUUAAUUAUCACAACCUCACAAAUAUUUUUAUUCAUGUUGUGAUUGAAUGACACCAAAUAUUUUUAUUCCCUUUCUUCAACCUCACAAAUAUACACACACAUUAGCGUUUAGAUUAAUAUUUUAUGUCUGUAUGUUUGUUUUUUUUUGUUACGCUAAUGCGUAUAAUUUUUUCAGUGUUGCGUAAUGCGUACAAUUAUUAUUUUUAUAAAAUUUUGAUUUUAAUUAAAAGGACUAGUAUAGAUGCCUAAAAAAAUUAUACUUAUAUAUAUUUUACACAUUUAUAUCGUAACAAACUAUGCAUAUCUUUUUCUUAUUAAAAAAACUAAACAUAUCUUUUUCAAUGACACCAACAAUGUAACAAAUAUAAUAUCAUAUAAUAUAAAUUCUUAUCUUUUUAAAUGACACCAAAAAUAUGAUAUUCUUAUAACAAAAUUUGUUAUACAGUAUAAUUGGAAAAGAAAAAACAAAUUAUUCUCUAACUUAACUCAGUUGAUAUAGACAAUGUAUAAAUAUAUGCAAGGUCGCGGGUUCGAAUCCCGGACACCACCAAAAAAAUAAUAAAUUCAAAGUUUUGUGCAAUAUUUUGCCAAACAACUUUUAACUUAAAAAUAAAUUUAGAACUAAAAAAAAUAAAGAAACCAAACAGUUUUAGCUUUUUCCUUAAAGAGCUUUAUUUUAACUUUGUUUUAAAGUAGCUUUUAGACCGAAAAAAAGUCUGGCCAAACGGUACCUAAGUUGGUUAUCAAAAUCAUAGUUGUAUACAUUUAUAAUCACUGGACAACAAACUUACAUAAGGCCUGUUUGUAUUAACUUAUAUGAGCUUACACGUAAACACCACCUAUUGAAACCGUUUGGAAGAGUUUAUAAAAACAACUUAUAAUAUGUCUAUAAACUAAAA